GAUGAACGCUGGCGGCGUGCCUAAUACAUGCAAGUCGAGCGAACAGACGAGGAGCUUGCUCCUCUGACGUUAGCGGCGGACGGGUGAGUAACACGUGGAUAACCUACCUAUAAGACUGGGAUAACUUCGGGAAACCGGAGCUAAUACCGGAUAAUAUAUUGAACCGCAUGGUUCAAUAGUGAAAGACGGUUUUGCUGUCACUUAUAGAUGGAUCCGCGCCGCAUUAGCUAGUUGGUAAGGUAACGGCUUACCAAGGCAACGAUGCGUAGCCGACCUGCGAGGGUGAGCGGCCCCACUGGAACUGAGCCACGGUCCAGACUCCUACGGGAUGCAGCAGUAGGGAAUCGUCCGCAAUGGGCGAAAGCCUGACGGAGCAACGCCGCGUGAGUGAUGAAGGUCUUCGGAUCGUAAAACUCUGUUAUUAGGGAAGAACAAAUGUGUAAGUAACUAUGCACGUCUUGACGGUACCUAAUCAGAAAGCCACGGCUAACUACGUG
This 497-nucleotide ribosomal RNA is filed under the name uncultured bacterium. Its description in RNAcentral is "partial 16S ribosomal RNA". It matches the Rfam family "Bacterial small subunit ribosomal RNA", at positions 28 to 507 of the family's 1533-position model. The record is from RNAcentral.